GUACACUCCUGCGGGAGGCAGCAGUGGGGAAUUUUGGACAAUGGGCGAAAGCCUGAUCCAGCCAUGCCGCGUGCAGGAUGAAGGCCUUCGGGUUGUAAACUGCUUUUGUACGGAACGAAACGGCCUUUUCUAAUACAGAGGGCUAAUGACGGUACCGUAAGAAUAAGCACCGGCUAACUACGUGCCAGCAGCCGCGGUAAUACGUAGGGUGCAAGCGUUAAUCGGAAUUACUGGGCGUAAAGCGUGCGCAGGCGGUUAUGUAAGACAGUUGUGAAAUCCCCGGGCUCAACCUGGGAACUGCAUCUGUGACUGCAUAGCUAGAGUACGGUAGAGGGGGAUGGAAUUCCGCGUGUAGCAGUGAAAUGCGUAGAUAUGCGGAGGAACACCGAUGGCGAAGGCAAUCCCCUGGACCUGUACUGACGCUCAUGCACGAAAGCGUGGGGAGCAAACAGGAUUAGAAACCCCAGUAGUCCCAUGA
RNAcentral lists this ribosomal RNA (478 nucleotides) under uncultured organism. RNAcentral describes it as "partial 16S ribosomal RNA". It matches the Rfam family "Bacterial small subunit ribosomal RNA", at positions 331 to 800 of the family's 1533-position model. The record is from RNAcentral.